UCCCAGGGCGAGGCUCAGCCAUUGCACUCCGGCUGUGCUGACCCCUGCGAUUUCCCCAAAUGUGGGAAACUCGACUGCAUAAUUUGUGGUAGUGGGGGACUGCGUUCGCGCUUUCCCCUGA
This 121-nucleotide small nuclear RNA is filed under the name Xenopus laevis (African clawed frog). RNAcentral describes it as "partial non-coding RNA". It matches the Rfam family "U1 spliceosomal RNA", at positions 45 to 166 of the family's 166-position model. From Rfam's summary of the family: U1 is a small nuclear RNA (snRNA) component of the spliceosome (involved in pre-mRNA splicing). The record is from RNAcentral. Lineage: Eukaryota; Metazoa; Chordata; Amphibia; Anura; Pipidae.